GAUGAACGCUAGCUACAGGCUUAGCACAUGCAAGUCGAGGGGCAGCAUGAAAGGAACUUCGGUUCUUUUUGAUGGCGACCGGCGCACGGGUGCGUAACGCGUAUCGAACCUGCCUCAUACUCGGGGAUAGCCUUGCGAAAGUAAGAUUAAUACCCGGCGGUCUCGGAUGGCCGCAUGACUAUCCGAGUGAAGAUUUAUCGGUAUGAGAUGGCGAUGCGUCCCAUUAGCUAGUUGGUGAGGUAAUGGCUCACCAAGGCAUCGAUGGGUAGGGGUUCUGAGAGGAAGGUCCCCCACAUUGGAACUGAGACACGGUCCAAACUCCUACGGGAGGCAGCAGUGAGGAAUAUUGGUCAAUGGACGAAAGUCUGAACCAGCCAAGUAGCGUGCAGGAUGACGGCCCUCUGGGUUGUAAACUGCUUUUAGUUGGGAAUAAAAAGAGGGACGUGUCCCUUAUUGUAUGUACCAUCAGAAAAAGGACCGGCUAAUUCCGUGCCAGCAGCCGCGGUAAUACGGAAGGUCCAGGCGUUAUCCGGAUUUAUUGGGUUUAAAGGGAGCGCAGGCGGCGGCGUAAGUCAGUUGUGAAAUCGUGCGGCUUAACCGUGCAAUUGCAGUUGAUACUGCGUCGCUUGAGUGCACACAGGGACGUUGGAAUUCAUGGUGUAGCGGUGAAAUGCUUAGAUAUCAUGAAGAACUCCGAUCGCGAAGGCAUAUGUCCGGAGUGCAACUGACGCUGAGGCUCGAAAGUGUGNGUAUCANACAGG
This 761-nucleotide ribosomal RNA is filed under the name uncultured bacterium. Its description in RNAcentral is "bacterial SSU rRNA". It matches the Rfam family "Bacterial small subunit ribosomal RNA", at positions 28 to 776 of the family's 1533-position model. The record is from RNAcentral.